RNAcentral lists this transfer RNA (74 nucleotides) under Candidatus Woesearchaeota archaeon. RNAcentral's name for it is "tRNA-Lys". It matches the Rfam family "tRNA". From Rfam's summary of the family: Transfer RNA (tRNA) molecules are approximately 80 nucleotides in length. Their secondary structure includes four short double-helical elements and three loops (D, anti-codon, and T loops). Lineage: Archaea; Nanobdellati; Candidatus Woesearchaeota. The record is from RNAcentral.
GGGCCGGUAGCUCAACCUGGUAGAGCAUUUGCCUUUUAAGCAAAUGGUUGCGGGUUCAAAUCCCGUCCGGCCCG